Molecule: non-coding RNA, 255 nt
Organism: Pelobates cultripes (western spadefoot toad)
Lineage: Eukaryota; Metazoa; Chordata; Amphibia; Anura; Pelobatidae
Source: the annotation of a GenBank genome assembly
GGAGAGAUACAGGGGAUGGAGGAGAUGAGAAGAGAUACAGGGGAUGGAGGAGAUGGGGAGAGAUACAGGGGAUGGAGGAGAUGGGAAGAGAUACAGGGGAUGGAGGAGAUGGGGAGAGAUACAGGGGAUGGAGGAGAUGGGAAGAGAUACAGGGGAUGGAGGAGAUGGGAAGAGAUACAGGGGAUGGAGGAGAUGGGGAAAGAUACAGGGGAUGGAGGAGAUGGGGGAGAGAUCUGGGAGAUGGAGGAGAUUUGG